RNAcentral lists this ribosomal RNA (301 nucleotides) under uncultured bacterium. RNAcentral describes it as "partial 16S ribosomal RNA". It matches the Rfam family "Bacterial small subunit ribosomal RNA", at positions 509 to 807 of the family's 1533-position model. The record is from RNAcentral.
CAGUCGCCGCGGGAAUACGUAGGGUGCGAGCGUUAAUCGGAAUUACUGGGCGUAAAGCGGGCGCAGACGGUUACUUAAGCAGGAUGUGAAAUCCCCGGGCUCAACCUGGGAAUUGCGUUCUGAACUGGGUGGCUAGAGUAUGGCAGAGGGGGGUAGAAUUCCACGUGUAGCAGUGAAAUGCGUAGAGAUGUGGAGGAAUACCGAUGGCGAAGGCAGCCCCCUGGGCCAAUACUGACGCUCAUGCACGAAAGCGGGGGGAGCAAACAGGAUUAGAUACCCCCGUAGUCCCUGUCUCUUAUAC